GACGAACGCUGGCGGCGCGCCUAACACAUGCCAGUCGAGCGAUGAAAUUUUAACCGAUCUCUUCGGAGAGAAGAUAAAAUGGAUUAGCGGCGGACGGGUGAGUAACACGUGAGAAACCUGCCUUUCACAAGGGGAUAGCCUCGGGAAACCGGGAUUAAUACCCUAUGACACAUUUCCUUCGCAUGGAAGAAAUGUUAAAACUCCGGUGGUGAAAGAUGGUCUCGCGCCUGAUUAGCUAGUUGGUGGGGUAACGGCCCACCAAGGCCAUGAUCAGUAACCGGCAUGGGAGGGUGAACGGUCACAUUGGAACUGAGACACGGUCCAAACUCCUACGGGAGGCAGCAGUGGGGAAUAUUGCACAAUGGAGGAAACUCUGAUGCAGCGACGCCGCGUGAGCGAUGAAGGCUUUCGAGUCGUAAAGCUCUGUCCUAUGGGAAGAUAAUGACGGUACCAUAGGAGGAAGCCCCGGCUAACUACGU
RNAcentral lists this ribosomal RNA (479 nucleotides) under uncultured bacterium. Its description in RNAcentral is "partial 16S ribosomal RNA". It matches the Rfam family "Bacterial small subunit ribosomal RNA", at positions 28 to 506 of the family's 1533-position model. The record is from RNAcentral.